RNAcentral lists this ribosomal RNA (252 nucleotides) under uncultured bacterium. RNAcentral describes it as "partial 16S ribosomal RNA". It matches the Rfam family "Bacterial small subunit ribosomal RNA", at positions 524 to 776 of the family's 1533-position model. The record is from RNAcentral.
UACGUAGGGGGCAAGCGUUGUCCGGAAUUAUUGGGCGUAAAGCGCGCGCAGGCGGUUUUUUAAGUCUGGUGUUUAAACCCGAGGCUCAACUUCGGGUCGCAUCGGAAACUGGGAGACUGGAGUGUAGGAGAGGGAAGUGGAAUUCCACGUGUAGCGGUGAAAUGCGUAGAGAUGUGGAGGAACACCAGUGGCGAAGGCGACUUCCUGGCCUAUAACUGACGCUGAGGCGCGAAAGCGUGGGGAGCAAACAGG